Xenia sp. Carnegie-2017 is the source of this 87-nucleotide long non-coding RNA. RefSeq lists it as uncharacterized. The transcript has 3 exons. The record is from RefSeq and is a predicted model, not a curated record. Lineage: Eukaryota; Metazoa; Cnidaria; Anthozoa; Malacalcyonacea; Xeniidae.
UUAUGAUAAAAAAACACUGCAGACACAAGAGUAAAGAAUGUAAUGAAAAUAAGAUAAUGCUUAUCUCAGAUCCCAUGUACUCUGAGU